UUUAUUUUAGAGUGAAUAAAUAAUCAUCGCAUCUUCUUUGGAUAUUCAAUCUUUAUUGAGCAGGGAUUGAACAUGGAGGUCUACACAUCAACUGCAUGUGUGACAAUCUUGUGCAUUAUUGCCACAUUCUCUGCACAAGGAAUUGCUGACACUGGAAGCCAGUAAGUGACCUUACACAGACCAUUAAUAAGAGAGCCUCUGAACAUAGUUUUAGAGAGAUUUUUUUAUUAUUAUUUAUUUAUUUUACAUUUAUU
Molecule: long non-coding RNA, 254 nt
Organism: Rhinichthys klamathensis goyatoka
Lineage: Eukaryota; Metazoa; Chordata; Actinopteri; Cypriniformes; Leuciscidae
Exons: 3
Source: RefSeq, a predicted model, not a curated record